UCAUGAGUGUGUCCCCCUGGGAGUGCACAUAACUUUGAAAAUGUGAUUCCAUUAAAGUCAUCACAACUGCCUGUUCAGUCGGUGUCUGUCUUUGCGUGCUUCCCACAGACAGCACCUCACUAAGCUAAACUAUGAACCGCAUUUAGUGUUCGAAGUCAUACAUUCUUUAAAUACAACAUGGCCUUCAAUUAUAAGUCAACUGCUUCGUAGUUGGCUGCCAAAGCAACAGCCAUCUUAAACCAUGAAAUGCCCUUCAGAAGAAAGACAUGUGCUAGGAAGAUGGAGGAGGGAGCUUGAAGAAACCUGGGUCCCAGCUAUGGUUACUUUGAGUUUUUGGAUAGAUGCGGCUAAACCUCAUCCUCAUCUACACAUUGUUUACAUGCAAAAUGAAUUCCACCUUGAGAUAUAAUAUAAGAAGCAUGCCCUCUUUGUGGCUGAAUAUAAACCACAGUGGAACUUUCUCCAAAAAAGGAAUAUUUACAAAGCUAUUCCCUUACCUCCAGUUUGAGAAAAUUUCUUCCAACAAAGUCCGAAACACAGAAUUGAUGCUAAGUGGCAAUUUCUAAAUGACAAAAAGGGAAAGCCACAAAAAUGUAGUUAUGUCAAGGUACUAUGCAAUGAAUGUUUGUAUCCCUUUGAAGUGGAUAUAUUGAAGGCCUAAUACCUAAUGUGACAGUAUUUGAGGGUGGAACCUUUGAGAAGUAAUUAGGUAUGAGGGUGGAGCCUUCAUGAAUGGAAUUCAUGUCUUAUAAAGACACUAAUGUAGAAGAAACAUGAGAGAGAUGAUCAUGAUGAUAUGAGUGAAGGCAGGCAUCUGCAAAUCAGGAAGAAGGUCCUUAGUAGACACAGAAUCUGCCAGCACCCUGAUCUUGGACUUCCCAGCCUCCAGAACUGUGAGAAAUAAAUGUUUACUGUUCAAACCACCCAGUCUAUGGCAUUUGCUAGAGCAGCC
This 952-nucleotide long non-coding RNA is filed under the name Homo sapiens (human). Its description in RNAcentral is "HSALNT0406966". Lineage: Eukaryota; Metazoa; Chordata; Mammalia; Primates; Hominidae. The record is from RNAcentral.